This 1056-nucleotide long non-coding RNA is filed under the name Chrysemys picta bellii (western painted turtle). RNAcentral describes it as "lncRNA (ENSCPBG00000011037.1)". The record is from RNAcentral. Lineage: Eukaryota; Metazoa; Chordata; Testudines; Emydidae.
CGUUGGGCCCUGGAGCGGUACCGUGGCCUGGUGCUGUGUCGAGACAAUGAACGGCACCGGUAUUGGUGCCGGAUCCAGGACCUGCUCCAUGAAGGCGACCGGUGGGCAGAGCAGCACCAUGAUCAGGAGCAUCGACGUGAACCGGAGUGAUGCCACGAGUACGUCCAGCGUCGCGAGUAUGACCGGCACUGCAAUGGACAGCAGUGCCUGGACUCCAAACGGUGCCGAGAAUGGGAGCGGUGCCAAGGCUGGGGCACAGUGCCGACGGUCAGAUCAACGCCGACAGUGCCGACGGUCAGAUCAACGCCAGCUUGCCUUGAGAUGGUGCCAUCUGCUGGGGCACCAGAGGCUUGGCAUGGAACAGAGGGGACCCCGAUGCCGUCAUGGCGAUGAGGUCCCUCGCAGCCGCAAAGGUGUCCGGGUGGAAGGAGCUGGACUUCCACAACGCUGUGGGUUGGGGAAUCCAAAGGCACCAGACUCAAUGGUUCCCCCAACGAGUCCAAAGUCGAUGGUGCUGCGUCCACAAACUUCGCUGCCAGGCGCUCCCCUCCAGGAUGUGCCACAUUGGCUGGCUCCAGGGAAGUGGGUCUCUGUGAAGGAGAGCCACCCUUCUCCAACUUUCGGUGUCGCUUCAGUGCCGGGGAUUGGGAGUGGUGCCGAGUCAAUGUUGCUGGCUUUGGUGCUGGGGAACGGCUGUGCCGCGGGGAACGGCCAGACUCAACUGCAGUGCCACCUCCACUACCGCCGCCGGGGUGCUGCGCACCGAAGAACGUGGUGCCGGGUCCUGCGACGCCGAAGGAGGCUGGGGACUAAGUGCCGAAAGUCUCGCUCCUUUUUAGUCCAAGGACAAAAUCCCUUACAGAUCCUGCACUUCUUGGCUUGGUGAGCCUCCCCCAGACACUUUAAACAAGAGUCAUGGGGGUCGCCCAUUGGCAUGGGCUUGGAGCAGGACUUGCAGGGCUUGAAUCCUGGGGACUUGGGCAUGAAGCCCCGAAGAAAAAUAGUCGGGGUGGAGAGUAAUCCCCCAACCCAACUGCUACUAACUAAAACAAAAAC